UGUCUUCAGGGCAGGGUGACUUAAAGUGCUUCGCACUUUUAGAAUUCCCGAUCGGCGGUAUAGUCCGCGAGCGUGUAAGCGCAGGUGCUUUCGAGCACAGGAUUUGGUGAAAUUCCAAAACCGACAGUAUAGUCUGGAUGAAAGAAGGCG
Molecule: non-coding RNA, 150 nt
Filed under: human gut metagenome
Description: FMN riboswitch (RFN element)
Rfam family: FMN riboswitch aptamer (RFN element)
About the family: The RFN element is a highly conserved domain that is found frequently in the 5'-untranslated regions of prokaryotic mRNAs that encode for flavin mononucleotide (FMN) biosynthesis and transport proteins. This element is a metabolite-dependent riboswitch that directly binds FMN in the absence of proteins.
Source: RNAcentral